AUGGAGCUCCUCCGCUCCAUGUGGAAUGAAGAAGAGGUUGAGGAAGAUGAGGACAGAGGAGAGGAAGGAGGGAUUGCGAUGGAGGAGGAGGGGCGAGGGGAUGGCGUGACGAUAGAAGAUGCAGAGACGAACGAAGAAAGGGUGAACGAAGAAGAGAUGGAGGAGAUAUAUGAGUUUGCUGCCACUCAGAGAAAGAGGGAUGAAGGAAAAGAGAGCGAAAAGGAAGAAUCAGAAGAGGAGGAGGAGGGAGGAGUGACAUUUUUCACAGAGACAGAAGAAGAGCAGGAGGCUCCAAUCCAAGCUCAGUCAUUGGCUGAACACUCAGAUACGGGUGAAUUAACAUGCAUGAUGUCCCCUCAAACAAAACCUCCCAGUUUAGAGGCAGACAUGGCUAUUGGUGACAUCGACACAGACCAGGGGAAUCCAAAUAGGAUAAAAGCUGAUCUCAACAAAUCAGAAGGUAGAGAUCUAGAACGUUCUAGAACAGCCACCGUGGAGUCAGACAGAACAAAACAAUUUGAAUCAAACGUCACAAGCUCAAGAAGUGUUGGAGAGGUAUCAACAACAAAAAGCCUCCACUCCAGUCCGAUUGACUAUCAAGAACUAAACGCUAGUCUAGACCGUAGCUACAGCCGCCUCUUCUCUGACUCUUGGGGGGUCUAUGAGACGCAGGAGGAGCCCCACACCUCCCCACCAACACAACCAUCCUGCCACUCCCAACCCCACAGGGCUAUCCAGAAACCCUCCUGCUCCCAGCCCCCCAGGACCAUGGUAGUGGAGGGUGCGAGACAGCCAGAACUCACCUCCCCACCCCCACCGUCCUCCUGCUCCCAGCCCACAAGGGUGAGGGUCGAUGGGAGUACGAGACAGACAGCGAUCCCUACCCUCCAGUACUCAGCCAUUGAAAUCAUUGACCUCUCCAUCAGUCCUCCUCUGGUCCCUGGUGUAUCCGCCCUACCUGUUCCUGGUUUGUCCCCAGGGGAAGUGACUGACACCGGGGCACGAGUUAGGACGAAGGGAGUGGUGGGAAGAGGGAAGGUUCCUGUGUGUAAGGAGAUACUCCAAGAGAAGGUACCGUCUAGUCCAGAGGACUUAAAGAGAGAGAGUUAUGGUCCAUAUAGUAUUUCUGUACCCGUCUCUCCUCCUCACAGUACCAAAGAAGAACCUGAGCUUAUAGUUCUGUCUGACUCUAGUGAAGAGAUGGAGGUAGGGGAUCUAGGACCUACCAGCCCCUCUCCACCACCCCCUACUCGUCUCUCCCAGAACCACCAAGGCUACACCCGAAUCACAACUCAAUCCAACACAGAACCCAAGAAACCCACCUCGAUAACCCAAUCUGACACAGAACCUAAGAAAUCCAGCUCGAAGGAGAAAGAGACUAUUGGUGGUUUUGUGAGGGAUCCUUCUGUCUCACCUUCCGAUCAAGGCUUAGAUCCAGAUCCUCCAGGUUCUAACCCUGGUUCUGCUGGUUCUACUAGACUCAUGGACUGUUCUGCAGAGAUGUCUUGGCUCAUCCCGGCCACUCCGCCCCUGCCGUCCAGGAGGACGAGCUCUACCCAGACCUUUAGUAGCAUGCGUCGCACUCAGCUCUUUCCUAAGGCCAACUCUUCUUCCUCCUCUUCUGCAGCGUCAGUUUUCUCCUCUCCCACCCUCCCUUUCAGGCCUAGCCGCCAGACCUCACACCCACCCAGGGUUUCUACACAUUCUGCCCAGACAGAGUCCUCUAUUUCUAGGCAGAAAUCAGACAGCAGAGGGCUUCGGCACUCCAGCUUGGGUCUCGACCAUGACGACCUCUCUUCCCAGAAAUACAACAGUGGUUUUGGAUCCACAGUCCCCUCCAAGUCCCAACCAAAACGCUCCUGCCUACCCCGCCUGACCCCCUCUCUCUCCGUCAUCCCCCCACCAGACCCCUCCACCAAGGGUACUCCUCUCCACAACGUCCCCCAGCCAUACAGCUCCACUCCCCUUUAUUCAGAUCUACCCAAGCCCUCUGCUCCGUCUCUGGCCUCCCCUCUUCUGAGAGACGGGGAGGGGGACAACGGAACCAGGCAGAGAGGGAGGGGGCUGGGGAUCUCUGGGAGCCCAUGGAAGAGAGGGGGAGAGGGGUCUCUGGGCCUAUCCCUCUCGGACCCACAUAAGGACCCUCUUACCCAACCGAGAGAGAACAGCGGCUCCCCCGGACAACGCCGACCAUCCAGUGAGUCUAAAUACUUCCACAGCCCAGGAGAUAGCGAGACGGGGGGAGAGAAAGAGAGGGGGGUGAGAGAGGAAUCGGAUGAGAUUAUGAAAAUGGAGGAACUGGAAAGGAGUAUAGUGAAAGAGGAAGAGCAGGAGGAAGAGAUGGGAGAAGACAUGGAGAGGUCCAGUAACAGCUUUCAGCAGAGCUUCCUCGGGAUGGACGAGCCACCCAUGGCCUUCGAUGACUCCUGGGGCCUAAACGCAGGAGGAGGGGACACGGACGGAGAACGAUCCCAGGCAGUGUGCUUCAGUCUGAGGCUACAGAGCAGCGGCGGUGGAGCUAGUCCUCCAAGACAGGGCCGGAGAGAUGGAGAGAUAACAGGAACAUCCUCUACUUUUACCCCCUCUCCUCUUCCUAAAGCCUACUCCACCCCCUCUCCACCUCCACCCAACACCACUACACCCCAGGCCAACCCAGAGAUCAACGCUAGCCUCCUGGACGCUGAGAUCUGGGACGACUGGGGGCAGGAAGAGGAUGAGGCUCUUCCUCUCUCGCAGAGGGUGAAUCCUGUAGCUCUGGCUCAGAGAGUGGCCCAGCUCAAGACUCCAGGUAAUACACUUUCAGCAGUUAUACCCCCUUGUAUAGAGGUUAUAAUGUUUAAUCUAGCUAGCUCGGGUUCAAAGCCAGCUUCAUUGCUUCCUACUGUUGAAAUAUUGAACAGUCUUCCAUUGGUGUUAUUCUGA
Long non-coding RNA from Oncorhynchus kisutch (coho salmon), 2922 nucleotides. Lineage: Eukaryota; Metazoa; Chordata; Actinopteri; Salmoniformes; Salmonidae. The record is from Ensembl.